UUCUGCCCAGUGCUCUGAAUGUCGAAGUGAAAAAAUUCAACCAAGCGUGGGUAAACGGUGGGACUCUCUUAGUGUAGCCAAAUGCCCUCGUCAUCUAAUAAGUGAUGCGCAAGAAUGGA
Molecule: non-coding RNA, 119 nt
Filed under: Volvox carteri f. nagariensis
Lineage: Eukaryota; Viridiplantae; Chlorophyta; Chlorophyceae; Chlamydomonadales; Volvocaceae
Description: Eukaryotic large subunit ribosomal RNA
Rfam family: Eukaryotic large subunit ribosomal RNA
Source: Rfam by way of RNAcentral